UCAGUCGAGCCAGAUUUGAACCAGCGACCUAAGGAUCACCGCUUAAUUACAUCUACAGUCCUCCGCUCUGCCAACUGAGCUAUCGAGGGAUACAAACCG
RNAcentral lists this transfer RNA (99 nucleotides) under Cordylochernes scorpioides. RNAcentral describes it as "tRNA-Tyr". The record is from RNAcentral. Lineage: Eukaryota; Metazoa; Arthropoda; Arachnida; Pseudoscorpiones; Chernetidae.